RNAcentral lists this unclassified non-coding RNA (455 nucleotides) under Zea mays. Its description in RNAcentral is "misc RNA Zm00001eb094800". Lineage: Eukaryota; Viridiplantae; Streptophyta; Magnoliopsida; Poales; Poaceae. The record is from RNAcentral.
GUUUGUUUAACUUGCAGAUUCUAUUGCCCUUUUGUUUCUUGGGUCACUUCAGUUUAUAUGUAUUUAACAUGAACACCAGAAGCAUCUAUAUAAUGGACUCCAUGCCUCUACCAUCAUGGUUUAAGGGUAACGAUCCAAGCAUGCAUUAUAUUCACAAAAUACAUAAUAUUGCCAAUAAUAUGAAUGUUGCCAUGGAAUUGGCUAAUUCUACAUGGAAGGACGAUAUUUAUAUGUGGCGUCGUAUAGUACCAUCAUGGGUUCCAAAAACAUUAAACUGGGAUUUAUCAGGCUUUCUUGUUAUCAAUUUUAUGCACUCGUGGAAUGGUAAAAGGUUACCCUGCAUUUCCACUACUUCAAGUGUACUGAGGACCAAAUUCUUGGUAGAGUUGAUGAAGUACCAGGAGAAUGAAUGUAAUGACAAUAUUCCAGAAGAAAUACAAAAGAUUAUUAAGCGC